UGGGAAUAUGGGUAGACCGGCAACGAGCGGAGCAAUAUUCGGUCGCACGAGUCGCGGCCAACCUGUCAUACAGUUGGAUAGCUACAGAUUCUUGAAGGACUACACGAACCUGUCAAGCCAUAAGACAAGAUGGCGCUGUGAGAGAAGGGCAAACAGAUGUCGCGCAUCCGUCAUGACUAUUGAUGACGUCAUCGUCAAAAUUUCCGGCUCCCAUAACCAUUAACUUUUACUUUAAGAGAGUUAGAGGAAAUUGUAUUUACGAUAAUUAAUGUAUAGUAGAUACCUAAAAUUUACAUAGAUUAGUUACAUCUGCUAAGUAUGAUUAACAAUUAUUAUACAGAUAUUAAUUAUUUUCGAAUUUGGAACAUUUUUGAAUAUUUUUA
This 383-nucleotide unclassified non-coding RNA is filed under the name Melitaea cinxia (Glanville fritillary). Its description in RNAcentral is "misc RNA ENSMCXG00005019515.1". Lineage: Eukaryota; Metazoa; Arthropoda; Insecta; Lepidoptera; Nymphalidae. The record is from RNAcentral.